Non-coding RNA from Diaporthe sp. PMI_573, 111 nucleotides. Lineage: Eukaryota; Fungi; Ascomycota; Sordariomycetes; Diaporthales; Diaporthaceae. The record is from the annotation of a GenBank genome assembly.
GGCAAGAUGGCCGAGCGGUCUAAGGCGCUGCGUUCAAGAGUAUAAGUCUCUUCCUGGGAAACAGGUCUUGCAGUAUCGAAAGAUGCCGGGGUUCGAAUCCCCGUCUUGUCA